Molecule: long non-coding RNA, 730 nt
Filed under: Fukomys damarensis (Damara mole-rat)
Lineage: Eukaryota; Metazoa; Chordata; Mammalia; Rodentia; Bathyergidae
Description: lncRNA (ENSFDAG00000024174.1)
Source: RNAcentral
CCGGCCUCCGCGGCGCGCCCCGCGCCCAUCCCACAAUGCACCGCGGGCCCCAUAGCGCCUGCGCAGUGGCAGCUCGAUCGCCAAGACUGCGCGGCCAUAGCAACGGACGCGAGCGGAGUGAUGGAAACCACCCGCUUGGUCUCUAGCUGGGGAAGCCUGAAGUCAGGCUGAGAUAGGGUGGCUCCCAUUAUUAGUGCCCAUGGCACAGUGUCAAGGACUUAGUUAGGCCCUGGCUUGUGGGACAGGGGCUACACUAAGCUAUCCCAGAGGCGCAGCCUCCUUCUGGGGCUUAGCCUGGCUGCUUAGCAGGUAGCUUAUUUUCCCUGAGAUUCAUUUCUUUUCCUGUAGUGCAGGAAUAAUAACGAGCCAGGACGGUGCGGGGGAGGGGGGCGAAAUGGUGUCACCAGGACAAAGCCCUGCUCCAGCCCCAGGUGCCUGUGAUUCUGCCCCACCCUCUCAUACUGCUGCUGAAACCCUUUCGGCAGUUUGGAAGCGCCACGGUCUGCUUUUGGUUCUUCUAAUGAAUGCCUUUACCGAGGCAAUGAAUAUUCCUGUCUCCUAUCUGAAAGCUUUUAUUGCACCGUCUGUUGAAGGAAUUUACCAUCCGUGAGUGGGGAAAAGGUAUAGAGACAACCAAUCGCAACCAAUCUCUUAUCUAUAAACACAGAACUGUGUUCUUAACUUCUUUGCAGGUCCCUGCCACAACCUCCAAUAAAUAUUUAUUAAACAG